Lynx canadensis (Canada lynx) is the source of this 199-nucleotide long non-coding RNA. RefSeq lists it as uncharacterized. Lineage: Eukaryota; Metazoa; Chordata; Mammalia; Carnivora; Felidae. The transcript is spliced from 3 exons. The record is from RefSeq and is a predicted model, not a curated record.
GGUUUGGCCGUAAAGGAGGGUAAAGGAUGCCAAAUCCAUCAAGAUCAAGAACAAUAAGGAUAAUGUGAAGUUUAAAGUCUGAUGCAGCAGAUACCUUUACACUUUGGUCAUCACAGACAGAGAGAAGGCAGGGAAACUGAAGCAGUCCCUGCCCUCAGAUUUGGCAGUAAAGGAGCUGAAAUGAACCCAGCAAACUAAU